This 427-nucleotide ribosomal RNA is filed under the name uncultured bacterium. Its description in RNAcentral is "partial 16S ribosomal RNA". It matches the Rfam family "Bacterial small subunit ribosomal RNA", at positions 355 to 774 of the family's 1533-position model. The record is from RNAcentral.
UGGGGAAUAUUGCACAAUGGGCGCAAGCCUGAUGCAGCCAUGCCGCGUGUAUGAAGAAGGCCUUCGGGUUGUAAAGUACUUUCAGCGAGGAGGAAGGCGUUGUGGUUAAUAACCGCAGCGAUUGACGUUACUCGCAGAAGAAGCACCGGCUAACUCCGUGCCAGCAGCCGCGGUAAUACGGAGGGUGCAAGCGUUAAUCGGAAUUACUGGGCGUAAAGCGCACGCAGGCGGUCUGUCAAGUCGGAUGUGAAAGCCCCGGGCUCAUCCUGGGAACUGCAUCCGAAACUGGCAGGCUAGAGUCUUGUAGAGGGGGGUAGAAUUCCAGGUGUAGCGGUGAAAUGCGUAGAGAUCUGGAGGAAUACCGGUGGCGAAGGCGGCCCCCUGGACAAAGACUGACGCUCAGGUGCGAAAGCGUGGGGAGCAAACA